AGAGAGGUGUCCGAGUGGUUGAAGGAGCACGCCUGGAAAGUGUGUAUACCGAAAGGUAUCGAGGGUUCGAAUCCCUUCCUCUCUGCCA
Molecule: transfer RNA, 88 nt
Filed under: Gammaproteobacteria bacterium
Lineage: Bacteria; Pseudomonadati; Pseudomonadota; Gammaproteobacteria
Also listed under: 1 other name
Description: tRNA-Ser
Rfam family: tRNA
About the family: Transfer RNA (tRNA) molecules are approximately 80 nucleotides in length. Their secondary structure includes four short double-helical elements and three loops (D, anti-codon, and T loops).
Source: RNAcentral